GGGGAGUUCCCGUCGUGGCGCAGUGGUUAAUGAAUCCGACUAGGAACCAUGAGGUUGCGGGUUCGAUCCCUGCCCUUGCUCAGUGGGUUAACGAUCCGGCGUUGCCGUGAGCUGUGGUGUAGGUUGCAGACGCGGUUCGGAUCCCGCGUUGCUGUGGCUCUGGCGUAGGCCUGUGGCUACAGCGUCGAUUCGACCCCUAACCUGGGAACCUCCAUAUGCCACGGGAGAGGCCCAAGAAAUAGCAAAAAGACAAAAAAAAAAAAAAAAAAAAAAAAAAAAGAAAUAGUUUCUUUCUCUCUCUUUCUUUCUUCCUUCCUUUCUUUGCCUCCCUCCCCCCUCUUCCUUCCUUCCUUCUUUCUUUCUUUGCCACAUCUGCAGCAUAUAGAAGUUCCCAGGCUAGGGGUAGAAUCCCAGCUACAGCUGCCGGCCUACACCACAGCCACAGCAAUGCCAGAUCCUUACCUCUGGGCCACGAAGGGAACUCCAUUAGUUUCUUUUAGAGAACAAAGAAAAAGGGAGUUGAGGAAGUAAAAUAAAAAAUACCAUGAGUUUUGCGAAGUUGUCUUCAUUUCGGCCAGACUCCCAAACACAGGUGGGCUGGCUCAGAAUGUUUCCUCUGAGCUGAAAAAAGGUAUUUUAGUUUGACAUUCAGGCAUGGGGUGGGCAGGUUCCUGCAGAUGGGCCAGCGUAUAUAUUUUAGGCUACAGGCAACAUCCCUUUAGUGAUUAACUUGUCAUAAAAAGUUAAAGCGAAAGAUGACAUGUAAUAAAUAUGAAGUCAGAUUAGGUUUCUCCCUAUUUAAGGACCUGAUGUUAAAACCAGAUCGCAUGAUGAAAGGCCUGCAAACCUGAGGUAAGGCCAAGCAGGUGACUGACGUAAAAAAGGCCUGAGGUGGCACGACGUUGUGAAUCAACUAUACUUCAAUGAAGCUUUAAAAAAAGAAAAGAAAAACGUGGGGGCACUAACUUAAAGCAAGGUUGGACCUAAAGCAGGAUGAGGUAAAGAAGGAUCACGUGACAAAAAGUCUGGGGACGGUAACAUAAAACCGAAUCACGUGUCAUAGAGCCUGGGGAGCCCACAGAAAGCAGGGCCAGGUGACAUUCAAUUUGUGAACCGGAUGUAAACGAAGCCCGGAAAAGUGCCGUAAAGCAGGGUCAGGUGACGUAAAGACUGGGAAACUGCUGUGAGCCAGACUGGGAAAGGGCCAUAAAGCAGGGUUCCUGCGAGGUAAAGCGGGGAGCUGGGCUGCGGGUGAGGGUCCUGCUUUUGGCUGGGCACGUGAAGUAAAGUUGGGGUGAGGCUGGGCCUGUGGCGCAAAGCUGAGGACCAGAGGUAAAGCUGGGCAGGUGAGGUAAAGCUGGGGCACUUGACCUAGAGGGGGGUGGGGUGGGCGGAGAGGAAGGUCCUGCCUGGAGGCGUCCAAGGUGGGAAGAGCAUGUCCUGGAUUUGAUCUUAGUUUGAGUUUGGCUGCAUUCUCUUUGAUGCCUUGUGGAAACUUGUUGCAGGCGUCUAGGAUCUGUGUGUCUUUCCCAUUUUCUGGACACGGUGUGGGUGGGGGUGUCAGCGGGGUCCCUGACUCGCUCUUUCAUGCGUUCAUCAUCAGGAAGGUAUAGUCUUCAGUGCUUCCUCCUACUUGUAAACCCACCCCCCUUUCCAUACACACACCUUAUCCCCUUCUCCUGUGGUUGAGGGAGCCAGGUGGGACUCAGGCCUCCAAGACUCGCCCCCUCACCCCCACCCCCCGCAUCACACAGAAACUUUUCUGUCCCAUUUCAUGCCUUCUCUGUCACAGACGAUCAGAAGCUUCGUGAGGACAUUUGCUGUCUUCUCAUUAGCUACAUCACUGAUUCUGCGUGAGACCAGCCUUGAGGCAGGAAUCCCCAGCAAAGUUUUCUUCAUGUGGGCUACGUGACACAUGCCAGGCUCCUUGUCCUGCCUGAAUCCCUCUAACUGGUUCCCCUAUGUGGGUCUGGUCACACAUUGUCUCUCACAUAAGGUCUUCUGCUGUGCUCUACAGUGGGAGGUCCUUGAGGAUUCUUUACCUGCCUCAGUGGGCCCUGAGCUUCUGGAACGGAGCCCUGUGACCCACACUGUGUUCUUUUACAGGCUGUCUGGACUCAUUGUUCUGGUUCUAAUGUUGUACCGUGUGUUCCCUCAAAGUUAUCUGUAUUUCAAGUUACCUGAAUCUCAAUACUUGCCAUAUGGAUUCCUGGCAGGUGCUGCUUUUAUAGCAAAACUGAGCUUCAUGGUUGAUGACAGGUGGCAUGAACUUGCACCAGGAGCAGCCCCCAAAGCUGACCCUGCAGCUCCAGGACUAUGGCUUAUUUCCUCUCCAUGUUGCCUACGGCUCCUCCGUGUGCCUUGCUCUCUGCUUCUCUUCUCCCUCCCUGCCUUCCCUCACAGACUCUGCACGCCCCUCCCAAGUGCCCAUCACUGUUCCCAAUUCCUUUACCAUGUUCCCCGUACCCCCCUUUCUGAUUCCAUUGCUGUUGUCUGCAUGAUCUGUUUUUUUUCCCUGUUCCCUGCCACCUCCCUUUCAACACGUUUCCAUCUCUUGGCUCCAUGGAUUGACUAAGAUUCUGUUUCCUCUUCUCAAAUAGUCUCUUCUCUAUCUUUUAAUUUUUUGGCUGCACCCAUGGCAUAUGGAAGGUUUGGGGCCAGGGACUGAAUAGAGUCGCAGCUGGUAUAUAUUACUGCAGCUGCAGCAAUAUGGAAUCCUUUAACCCACUGCACCGGGCCAAAGAUCACACCUGCAUCUCUGCAGCGGCCUGAGCUGCUGCAGUUGGAUUCUUAAUUCACUGUGCCAUGGUGGGAACUCCUUGCUUCUCUUCUCUGAUUGGGGUAAACUGCCCUAAUGGAGAGCAGUUGGGGACUGACUUAGCUGUACUUUGAACUCUACUUUGUAGGUAGAUUUCAAAACAAACACAAGUUGCUGCUUUUCUGAAUUCCUGCCCCACGAGGAAGCCCCAUUUGCCCAAAAACAUUGAGUUCAAUCACUUGUCCAGGACUGGCUCCUACUGCCCUCUCUACCUGGUCUGUGUCAGUGAAACUACAUAAACGAGAGCCUCUUGCAUUUCACCCCACCUCACCCAGCUGGUGCGUUGUCCUAGUCUCCAGGCUCAUAAAACUCCCCCAAGCCCAUCAUCCCCAAAUACCUUAAGACUCCCAGGCCCACUAGUCAUUGCAAACACACCAUUCUUGCUAAUCCCACCAUUCCUCCUCCAGCUGUCGGAGCUCACUAAGCACCUGAAUUCUUAUCAGCCUUUGGGCAUUUGCUUUGUUUUGUGUCAUUUCACAGAGUAGUGCAUUUAGGAUGUUCACUCAUCAAUACAAUAGAAUAAAAGAAUAACC
This 3351-nucleotide long non-coding RNA is filed under the name Sus scrofa (pig). RNAcentral describes it as "lncRNA (ENSSSCG00065007505.1)". Lineage: Eukaryota; Metazoa; Chordata; Mammalia; Artiodactyla; Suidae. The record is from RNAcentral.